This 702-nucleotide ribosomal RNA is filed under the name Shewanella oneidensis. RNAcentral's name for it is "bacterial SSU rRNA". It matches the Rfam family "Bacterial small subunit ribosomal RNA", at positions 57 to 748 of the family's 1533-position model. Lineage: Bacteria; Pseudomonadati; Pseudomonadota; Gammaproteobacteria; Alteromonadales; Shewanellaceae. The record is from RNAcentral.
GCAAGUCGAGCGGCAGCACAAGUGAGUUUACUCAUGAGGUGGCGAGCGGCGGACGGGUGAGUAAUGCCUAGGGAUCUGCCCAGUCGAGGGGGAUAACAGUUGGAAACGACUGCUAAUACCGCAUACGCCCUACGGGGGAAAGAGGGGGACUUUCGGGCCUCUCGCGAUUGGAUGAACCUAGGUGGGAUUAGCUAGUUGGUGAGGUAAUGGCUCACCAAGGCGACGAUCCCUAGCUGUUCUGAGAGGAUGAUCAGCCACACUGGGACUGAGACACGGCCCAGACUCCUACGGGAGGCAGCAGUGGGGAAUAUUGCACAAUGGGGGAAACCCUGAUGCAGCCAUGCCGCGUGUGUGAAGAAGGCCUUCGGGUUGUAAAGCACUUUCAGUAGGGAGGAAAGGGUAAGUCUUAAUACGGCUCAUCUGUGACGUUACCUACAGAAGAAGGACCGGCUAACUCCGUGCCAGCAGCCGCGGUAAUACGGAGGGUCCGAGCGUUAAUCGGAAUUACUGGGCGUAAAGCGUGCGCAGGCGGUUUGUUAAGCGAGAUGUGAAAGCCCUGGGCUCAACCUAGGAAUAGCAUUUCGAACUGACAAACUAGAGUCUUGUAGAGGGGGGUAGAAUUCCAGGUGUAGCGGUGAAAUGCGUAGAGAUCUGGAGGAAUACCGGUGGCGAAGGCGGCCCCCUGGACAAAGACUGACGCUC